UACGUAGGGACCAAGCGUUGUUCGGAUUUACUGGGCGUAAAGGGCGCGUAGGCGGCGUGGUAAGUCAGCUGUGAAAUCUCCGAGCUUAACUCGGAACGGUCAGCUGAUACUGCUGUGCUAGAGUGCAGAAGGGGCAAUCGGAAUUCUUGGUGUAGCGGUGAAAUGCGUAGAUAUCAAGAGGAACACCUGAGGUGAAGACGGGUUGCUGGGCUGACACUGACGCUGAGGCGCGAAAGCUAGGGUAGCAAACGGG
This 253-nucleotide ribosomal RNA is filed under the name uncultured bacterium. RNAcentral's name for it is "partial 16S ribosomal RNA". It matches the Rfam family "Bacterial small subunit ribosomal RNA", at positions 524 to 776 of the family's 1533-position model. The record is from RNAcentral.